GCCCUCGUGGUGUAGUGGUCAGCACGCUGGACGCGUAACCGAGAGGUCCGUGGUUCGAUUCCCGGCGAAGACG
Molecule: transfer RNA, 73 nt
Filed under: Stegodyphus mimosarum
Lineage: Eukaryota; Metazoa; Arthropoda; Arachnida; Araneae; Eresidae
Rfam family: tRNA
About the family: Transfer RNA (tRNA) molecules are approximately 80 nucleotides in length.
Source: Rfam by way of RNAcentral